CGAGUGGAAAUUUCGGGGAUGUUAGUUGCAUCGCACAAAUAUCUCCAAUAUUUUUUCCAGACCAAAUAUUGAAUGUUAGGACUCGCAUGAGUCAUUAUGCACGUUUGGUGAUAUUCUUUGGGUUUGCACUCGUCUAGAUUUCUAAAAUAUAUCAAAGUCACCCUGGAAACCGGAAAAAAAUUACCGCGUUUAGUGUUAAUUGCAAGCUGCUUUGUCAAACAAUUCUUUUCGCAGAACGUGAUGCUUCAAGUAGAUUUGGAGUUCUGGCACAAGUUGCUGAGGAAAUUAGAGGAAAAGGAACGAUAGCAUAUAUAAAUUGUGGGGAAAGCAAAGAUACCAAAAAAUUAUGCAAGAAGCUUAAAGUUUCACCACAACCUGUUGUGCUUAAGCAUUACAAAGAUGGGAACUUCAAUAAAGAUUAUGAUAGAAAGAAUACAGUUAAGGUAUACUAAGUGUUUUAUCCUGCGAUAGUGACACUGUUGUCGAUGUAGUGUUUAAGUUUAUCUAGGGCUGGGCAAUGUGAUACAGGUAUCUCUGAGAACAAGAAGUCUAAUAUUGUAUAUACAGUCUGUGUAAAAGUUUGGUUAUUAAAACUGUAUAGAUUUGCUG
This is a long non-coding RNA of Orbicella faveolata, 609 nucleotides long. NCBI's taxonomy places the organism in Eukaryota, Metazoa, Cnidaria, Anthozoa, Scleractinia, Merulinidae. The record is from RefSeq and is a predicted model, not a curated record.